CUGUGACAUGUCAAAGUGUCUGCUGUGAGAAAGUCCUACUGCAUGCAUCUUCCCUGAAGCAUGACUGUUGUGAAAAGAUGAGAUGAAAAGGAAAACCAGGCAGAUCGUGUGGUGGCACUCAGGAGCAGCAGCUCUUGCAGCAGGUUGCAUCAGUCUCUUCAGAUCAGGCCUCUGCAGCUGUGAACAGCACCACCCCCCACCCGCAGCACUCUGGGUGCCUAACAAGGUGAAACCACCGUCACAUGUCAGUGUGUGAGGUGACAACUGAGCUCAUAUUUACCAACAGCCAAGGACACAUAUCGCAGUCUGCUCAGAUAUCAGGGAAUGUUACGCAUUAGGAGAUUUACAGCACCGCAUCAGAUGAAACUGCCUCAACCUUGGCCAAAAGAUAAGCCUGCUAGUUAAUAUGUAGUCUCUCUUGCCAGACCUAUCUCCACAGCACUGGAGUAGUUAAUAUGAAACUAAGGAUACAAGGUAGAGCAGCCCUUGACGCAAACUGUACAGUAACCAGACAAACCAGUGUUGUUCAA
Molecule: long non-coding RNA, 530 nt
Organism: Perca flavescens (yellow perch)
Lineage: Eukaryota; Metazoa; Chordata; Actinopteri; Perciformes; Percidae
Exons: 3
Source: RefSeq, a predicted model, not a curated record